RNAcentral lists this microRNA (24 nucleotides) under Bombyx mori (domestic silkworm). RNAcentral's name for it is "bmo-miR-3287". The record is from miRBase by way of RNAcentral. Lineage: Eukaryota; Metazoa; Arthropoda; Insecta; Lepidoptera; Bombycidae.
UUCGGUUUUGAAGGGUGGCGUAAC